AUUGAACGCUGGCGGAAUGCUUUACACAUGCAAGUCGAACGGCAGCACGGACUUCGGUCUGGUGGCGAGUGGCGAACGGGUGAGUAAUGUAUCGGAACGUGCCCAGUCGUGGGGGAUAACGUAGUGAAAAUUACGCUAAUACCGCAUACGAUCUAUGGAUGAAAGCGGGGGAUCGCAAGACCUCGCGCGAUUGGAGCGGCCGAUAUCAGAUUAGGUAGUUGGGGGGGUAAAGGCCCACCAAGCCAACGAUCUGUAGCUGGUCUGAGAGGACGACCAGCCACACUGGAACUGAGACACGGUCCAGACUCCUACGGGAGGCAGCAGAGGGGAAUUUUGGACAAUGGGCGAAAGCCUGAUCCAGCCAUUCCGCGUGCAGGAUGAAGGCCCUCGGGUUGUAAACUGCUUUUGUACAGAACGAAAAGGUUUCUACUAAUACUAGGAGCUCAUGACGGUACUGUAAGAAUAAGCACCGGCUAACUACGUGCCAGCCGCCGCGGUAA
This 500-nucleotide ribosomal RNA is filed under the name uncultured bacterium. RNAcentral describes it as "partial 16S ribosomal RNA". It matches the Rfam family "Bacterial small subunit ribosomal RNA", at positions 30 to 523 of the family's 1533-position model. The record is from RNAcentral.